This 1481-nucleotide ribosomal RNA is filed under the name metagenome. RNAcentral's name for it is "bacterial SSU rRNA". It matches the Rfam family "Bacterial small subunit ribosomal RNA". The record is from RNAcentral.
AGAGUUUGAUCCUGGCUCAGGACUAACGCUGGCGGUGUGCCUAACACAUGCAAGUCGAGCGGGGUUAUAGUGGUAGUAAUACCGUUAUAAUCUAGCGGCGAACGGGCGAGUAACGCGUAGGUAACGUGCCUCUUUGCUGGGGAUAACCAUUCGAAAGGAUGGCUAAUACCGAAUAGCUUCGUACCAGGGCAUCCUGGAAUGAAUAAAGCUACGGCGCGGAGGGAGCGGCCUGCGUCCUAUUAGCUAGUUGGUAGGGUAAUGGCCUACCAAGGCUGCGAUGGGUAGCCGGUCUGAGAGGAUGGUCGGCCACACUGGGACUGAGACACGGCCCAGACUCCUACGGGAGGCAGCAGUGAGGGAUUUUGCGCAAUGGCCGAAAGGCUGACGCAGCGACACCGCGUGAGUGAUGAAGGUCUUCGGAUUGUAAAGCUCUGUCAGGGGGGAAGAGGAAGGACGGUACCCCCAGAGGAAGCCUCGGCUAACUACGUGCCAGCAGCCGCGGUAAGACGUAGGGGGCGAGCGUUGUCCGGAAUUACUGGGCGUAAAAAGCUCGUAGGUGGGAUUGCAAGUCGAUGAGUAAAUGCCUCGGCUCAACUGAGGUUUCAUUAUCGAUACUGCAGUUCUUGAGGACAGGAGAGGAAAGCGGAAUUCCCGGUGUAGCGGUGAAAUGCGUAGAGAUCGGGAGGAACACCAGUGGCGAAGGCGGCUUUCUGGCCUGAUUCUGACACUGAGGAGCGAAAGCUAGGGUAGCGAACGGGAUUAGAUACCCCGGUAGUCCUAGCCGUAAACGAUGGGCACUAGGUGUAGGAGGUGUUAAUCCCUUCUGUGCCGCAGUUAACACAUUAAGCGCCCCGCCUGGGGAGUACGGCCGCAAGGUUGAAACUCAAAGGAAUUGACGGGGGCCCGCACAAGCAGUGGAGCAUGUGGUUUAAUUCGACGAUACGCGAAGAACCUUACCAGGGUUUGGAAUCUAGGGGAAUCAUGCAGAGAUGUGUGCGCCCUUCGGGGCUCCUAGACAGGUGCUGCAUGGCUGUCGUCAGUUCGUGCCGUGAGGUGUUGGGUUAAGUCCCGCAACGAGCGCAACCCUUAUUCUUAGUUGCCAGCGAGUUAUGUCGGGCACUCUAGGGAGACUGCCGUCAUAAGACGGAGGAAGGUGGGGAUGACGUCAAGUCAGCAUGGCCCUUACGUCCUGGGCUACACACGUGCUACAAUGGUCGGUACAACGGGCAGCGAGACCGCGAGGUGGAGCGAAUCCCUUUAAAGCCGAUCUCAGUUCGGAUUGGAGGCUGCAGCUCGCCUCCAUGAAGGUGGAAUUGCUAGUAACCGUAGAUCAGCUACGCUGCGGUGAAUACGUUCCCGGGCCUUGUACACACCGCCCGUCACGUCACGAAAGCUAGUGGUACCCGAAGUCGCUGACCCAACCGCAAGGCGAGAGGUGCCGAAGGUAUGACUGGUGAUUGGGACGAAGUCGUAACAAGGUA